Molecule: transfer RNA, 72 nt
Filed under: Heterocephalus glaber (naked mole-rat)
Lineage: Eukaryota; Metazoa; Chordata; Mammalia; Rodentia; Bathyergidae
Rfam family: tRNA
About the family: Transfer RNA (tRNA) molecules are approximately 80 nucleotides in length. Their secondary structure includes four short double-helical elements and three loops (D, anti-codon, and T loops).
Source: Rfam by way of RNAcentral
GGGAAUGUAGCUCAGUGAUGCUGAGCCUGCCUGGCAAACGCAAGGUCCUGAGUUCAAUCCUCAGUACUGCCA